UCUUGCUGGAUCAAGAAGGCGGUGAUCCUCAUCGAGCUACACGUGUGCUGAACGCGGAGGUGCCGUCCGUUCGACGCUAGAUCGGACGGAGUUCGUGGGACGCUUGCGAUUAGGAUCGCGAAGACGUUCGACUACUAACGCUUCUCGCUUAGCGAUAUACAAGGGUAUAUGGAUCUGAUCUCCCCUCUCGUAGAUGAUCAUCACCAUGGAUAUGUCUUGCGUGUGCGUAGGAAAUUUUUGGUUUCCCAUGCAACGUUCCCCAACAGUGGUAUCAGAGCUGGAUUUAUGCGUAGAUGAUAUCUCGAGUACAAAAUAAAGGAGUUUGUGGGCGUUGAUGUUCAAUUUGCUGGCCUCCUUAGUCUUUUCUUGAUGCGGCGGUAUUGUUGGAUGAAGCAGCCCACACCACCAUUACUCGUAUGCUUACGAGAGAUCGGUUUCAUUGGCUGCCAUGCAACUUGUUGCAUAAAGAUGACUGGCGGGUGUCUGUUUCUCCAACUUUAGUUGAAUCGGAUUUCACCGAGGCGGUCCAUGGAGAAGGUUAAAUAGCAACUUGUAUAUCACCGUUGUGGUUUUGCAUAAGUAAGAUGCGAUCAUACUAGAUACCCAUAGCAGCCACGUAAAACAAGCAACAACAAAUUAGAGGACGUCUAACUUAUUUUUGUAGGGUAUGCACGUGACGUGAUAUGGCCAAAGACAUGAUAUGAUAUAUUGGAUCUAUGAGAUGAUCAUGUUGUAAUAGUUAAAUAUCGACUUGCACGUCGAUGCUACGGCAACCGGCAUGACCCAUAGGUUGUCUUUAAUUAUUUUUGCUCUUGGUGAUGCUUUGCUUUAUCGCUAGUUAGUAGCUUUAGUAGUAACAUCAUAGUUGGCGCGACAACUUCGAUGGCAGCACAAUGAUGGAGAUCAUGGUGUGGCGCCGGUGACGAUGGAGAUCAUGCCGGUGCUUUGGUGAUGGAGAUCAAGAAGCACAAGUUCAUGUCUAUAUCAUGUCACUUAUGAUUUGCAUGUGAUGUUAAUCCUUUUACACACCUUAUUUUGCUUAGGACGACGAUAGCAUUAUAAGGUGACCCCUCGCUUAAAUUUCAAAAUAAAAUUGUGUUCUCCCCAAGUGUGCACUGUUGCGACAGUUUGUCGUUUCGACACACCACGUGAUGAUCGGGUGUGAUAGACUCUACGUUCACAUACAACAGGUGCAAAACAGUUGCACACGCGGAACACUCGGUUUAAACUUGACGAGCAUAGCAUGUACAGACAUGGCCUCAGAACACAAGAUACCUAAAGGUCAAGCACUAAUCAUAUAGUGGAUAUGAUGAACAUGGAGAUGUUCACCAUUGAAGCUAAACUCAACUCACAUGAUGAUCGGACUUCAGUUAGUGAAUUUGGAUCACGCGACACUCGAAUAACUAGAGGGAUGUCAAUUUGAGUGGGAUUUUAUUAGUAAUAUGAUUAGCUAAACUCAAUCUUAAACAUAGUCUAAGUAAUCUUUGCAAAAUUUUAUGUUGUAGAUCAAUGG
This 1513-nucleotide long non-coding RNA is filed under the name Hordeum vulgare. RNAcentral's name for it is "long non-coding RNA (HVUL_LNC016584)". The record is from RNAcentral. Lineage: Eukaryota; Viridiplantae; Streptophyta; Magnoliopsida; Poales; Poaceae.